CAGUAGCCGCGGGAAUACGUAGGGUGCAAGCGUUAAUCGGAAUUACUGGGCGUAAAGCGUGCGCAGGCGGUUAUAUAAGUCAGAUGUGAAAUCCCCGGGCUCAACCUGGGAAUGGCAGUGGAUACUGGCAAGCUAGAGUGUGUCAGAGGAUGGUGGAAUUCCCGGUGUAGCGGUGAAAUGCGUAGAGAUCGGGAGGAACAUCAGUGGCGAAGGCGGCCAUCUGGGACAACACUGACGCUGAGGCACGAAAGCGUGGGGAGCAAACAGGAUUAGAUACCCGCGUAGUCCCUGUCUCUUAUAC
RNAcentral lists this ribosomal RNA (301 nucleotides) under uncultured bacterium. Its description in RNAcentral is "partial 16S ribosomal RNA". It matches the Rfam family "Bacterial small subunit ribosomal RNA", at positions 509 to 807 of the family's 1533-position model. The record is from RNAcentral.